This 434-nucleotide ribosomal RNA is filed under the name uncultured Lachnospiraceae bacterium. Its description in RNAcentral is "partial 16S ribosomal RNA". It matches the Rfam family "Bacterial small subunit ribosomal RNA", at positions 341 to 792 of the family's 1533-position model. Lineage: Bacteria; Bacillati; Bacillota; Clostridia; Lachnospirales; Lachnospiraceae. The record is from RNAcentral.
ACGGAAGGCAGCAGUGGGGAAUAUUGCACAAUGGGGGAAACCCUGAUGCAGCGACGCCGCGUGAGCGAAGAAGUAUUUCGGUAUGUAAAGCUCUAUCAGCAGGGAAGAAAAUGACGGUACCUGACUAAGAAGCUCCGGCUAAAUACGUGCCAGCAGCCGCGGUAAUACGUAUGGAGCAAGCGUUAUCCGGAUUUACUGGGUGUAAAGGGAGCGUAGGCGGCACGGCAAGCCAGAAGUGAAAUGCCGGGGCUCAACCCCGGAACUGCUUUUGGAACUGUCGAGCUAGAUUGCAGGAGAGGUAAGUGGAAUUCCUAGUGUAGCGGUGAAAUGCGUAGAUAUUAGGAGGAACACCAGUGGCGAAGGCGGCUUGCUGGACUGUAAAUGACGCUGAGGCUCGAAAGCGUGGGGAGCAAACAGGAUUAGAUACCCUGGUA